This is a long non-coding RNA of Panicum hallii, 546 nucleotides long. RefSeq lists it as uncharacterized. The transcript is spliced from 3 exons. Lineage: Eukaryota; Viridiplantae; Streptophyta; Magnoliopsida; Poales; Poaceae. The record is from RefSeq and is a predicted model, not a curated record.
UACAACGUUGGUGAACACGUACAGCUGGGCAUUAUUGGCUUGUAACCUUUCACACAACAAGUACCAACAAGAACAAGCUCAUCUCCAUUAUUAUCUCAAUUCGCAACGAACUAGUUAAGAUCGUCGUCUGAUGGAUAGCAGCAACACGAACCGCUCGCAGUCGCAGCCUCCUCCGGGCUACCCGAGGUUGGACGCGGAGCAGCAGGGCGGCGGCGGCAAGAAGAAGAAGAAGGGGUGCUGUGGACCAAGGCGCCGCGCGGCGACGGCCAAGCGCGGUGAGGCGAGCUUCAUCGAGGGAUGCAUCGCCGCGCUCUGCUGCUGCUGGCUCUGCGAGUUCUGCUGCGAUUAACUUGCUGAUCCAAAAGAAGGUGGUGCGCCAACACACAAGGAGCCACCAUGGCAAAAAGUUAACACUGUCUCAGGUGGAGAUUGAUCUUUAAUAAAUGACGAUCAUGAUGUAGUACAUUGUGUACCUUUUAAUCUACAUGUGUUGUUCCUGAUGUAUCAUCCCUGCAAAUUAAAAGACAAAUCUAUGAAUGCACGAUA